Molecule: ribosomal RNA, 467 nt
Filed under: Nipponnemertes cf. bimaculata NEP-2019
Lineage: Eukaryota; Metazoa; Nemertea; Enopla; Monostilifera; Cratenemertidae
Also listed under: 1 other name
Description: partial large subunit ribosomal RNA
Rfam family: Bacterial large subunit ribosomal RNA
Source: RNAcentral
AGUCUUUUGAAAUUUUAUGAAAGGUGUUUUCUGCUCGGUGAUUUUAAACAGCCGCGGUAAUUUGACCGUGCGAAGGUAGCGUAAUCAUUUGCCUUGUAAUUUAAGGCUUGUAUGAAUGGGGGUACAAAGGCUUUUCUGUCUUAAUUGAGUUUUUGGAAAUUGUUUUUGUUGUGAAGAAACAGUAAUAGGGUAAUGGGACAAGAAGACCCUUUUGAGCUUUACUUUUUGGAUAAGUAUAUGCUUUUAUUAGAGUUUGGUUGGGGCGAUCGAGGAAGAAAAAAUCUUCCUUUUUAGAGAUAUAUAUGAUCCAGAAUUUUUGAUUUAAAGAAUAAGUUACCAAAGGGAUAACAGCGUAAUUUUUUUUGUGAGUUCUUAUUAAAAAAAAAGAUUGCGACCUCGAUGUUGACUUAUAGUCUCCUUUAGGUGUAGUUGCUUAAAAGGUGGGUCUGUUCGACCUUUAAAAUUUU